GCAGCUUUGGGGCCGAGAAUGCUCUUCAAAGUCAUCCUGCCUAAAGGUAAGGAGGUUGGGACGGUGUGCCCCCUGCAUCGACUAGUCACCAGAAGGAGGUUUGACCUUGGUCAAGGCAGCUCUUUCCAGCUGAGGGCGGUCACCUGCCGGGAUCAGGGCUCAGCUGGGAGCUGUCAGCACUCCCAGUAGCUGGGGUGAUAUCCGGGCAAUGCACCAGAGCACCCAGCAAAGAGCCACUUGACACCUGGCUGGGGACAAGCACAUCAGUUGCCUUUUCCUCUGCCAGGGAGCCUGCCAUGCAGCCAACAAGGGCAGGCAAGGGUGAAAAGGGACGGCUUCCAGAUAAGGAAAGUGAAGCUCCCAAGACUUGAUUAAGUAGCUCAAGGUCAUCCUCAGUGCCAGGAUCAGAAGCUGCAAUUUGAACUGGGGAACUCUGGUCUAGCCUUUCAGCUCUCAGCCAUGAGACGGCACACCCAGCCCUGCAGAUCAAAAAACAAACUUGCCCUUCCUCGCCUGAAAACGCUCCCUCACCUUGGCCACCCGGCAUGAAAACAUUCUGAAUCCAGACUGCCAAGAAAGAAGAAUCAAGAAAAAAGGAAGAAAAGAAAAAUGAAGAACGCUUUGUUCCUUGAACUGUUCUCCACAAGCAUAGUCUCCGCCAGGUACAUUACUUAACUGCGGAGGUGACCCCCGACACCCCCCCCCCGCCCCCACCCUGGCUGCCUCGAGCUCCCUUGGCAGCCGGGUAGUCACGUGAUGCCCAGACAGCCCUGGCUGCUAUUCAAGCGUGUCCAUGUGAAGCAGCUCUAGCGAGCAUCGCUCCCAGAGGGGGAAGGCGGGGGCCCGAGUCAGCCUUGGACAAGGCCCCUCAGCCCCGCGCCAGAGAAGCCCCUGUCAGUGCCCACUGCCCUUUCAAAGACACUGCACGCUGGGCCUGCUCCCUGCACCCUUCCUUGCCCAGGAAGCAGCAGCGCAGGCCAGAUGAAAUGGCGGCCACAAGGUAGCAUCGCUGAGGGGCUUCUGUUCAUCAGAGUUCAGCCUGGUCUCCCGGCUUCACUCAUUCAUUAACUCACUCACUCAUUUGUUCAUUCAAUCACUCAUUCAUUCAUGCAUUCAUUCAUUCACUCACUCAGUCACUCAUUCACUCAUUUAUUCCUUCAUUUACUCCAAACUUCACUCAAUCAUUCACUCACCCAAUUAUUCACAUGUUCCUUCACUCACUCACUAAUAUAUUCACAAAUUACUUCACUUACUCAUUCAUUUAUCCAUUCAUUCAAUCAUGUAUUAGUCCAUUUUCAUGCUGCAGAUAAAGACAUGCCUGAGACUGGGUAAUUUAUAAAGAAAAAGGAGUUUAAUGGACUCUCAGUUCCAUGUGGCUGGGGAGGCCUCAUAAUCAUGGAAAAAGGCAAAAGGCACGUUUUACAUGGUGGCAGGCAAGAAAGAGUGAGAGCCAAGUGAAAGGGAAAACCCCUUAUAAAACCAUCAGCUCUCAUGAGACUUAUUCACUACCAUGAGAACAGUAUGGGGGAAACCACCCCCAUGAUUCUAUUAUCUCCCACCGGGUCCCUCCUAUGUCACAUGGGAAUUGUGGGAGCUACAAUUCAAGAUGAGAUUUGUGUGGGGACACAGUCAAAUGAUAUCAAUUCGAACACAACAUAUCAUCCACUCUUCUCUGCACUGGGGACAUAACAGUGAGCAAAAUAGAUGAGAUCUUUUUGGAGCCUCAGUCUAGCAGGGUAGAUAACCAUUAAACAAUAAACACUUAAUUAUUCAAUUGCAAACAUGCUAAGUUUUAGAAAGGAAGAAUAAAGCGUAUGAUCAUAUAUAAUAGGGGCCCAGCCUUUUCAGACACCCAAUUACAAAAGCAUAGCUCAACUCCCUUUCACUCCCCAUAUUGCAAAGCAGAUAUCUACAAGAUAUCUACAAGAAUCAUGAAGGCCUAAAAAUAUGUCAGUGUUGGAAGAAACAUCAAUGAUUAUCUGGCUCUUGGUGGCAAAAGGCAGUGACAUGGUAUGGUCAAGGGCUCAGACCUUUGAGUUGAUUUCUGGGUUUGAAUCCAGCUCUGCUAUCAACUGCAUGCCCUUGAAUGAGCUAUUGAAACAAUUGGACUUGGUAGAGUGAGAACAAACAGAGUACUAGAGCUGUGGGGGAAGAUUAAAUGAGAGCCCUAUGCAAAUCAUUUAGCAUGGGCCUGCCCCUGGGCAGCAAACAGUGCAUGCUACCCUCGAUCAUGCUCUACUUUCAUUGAGCAUUGGAGGAGGGAACCACAUGCCUUAGGAUGAUCCAGUAGGAGCCUGCACUUGAACCCAGGCCUCUGGGCUCCCAGUCCAGUGCUUUUUCCAAGCACAGAAGAACCUUUGAUAUACAAUGGAAGAACCGCCAUUCUCCUGUCUCCACCUGCUGUUCACCAGCCUCUGUCAUAAAUGUCCCAGAAUCCUCACCCAAGAUCAAGUCCUGACAUCCAAGUGUCCCCCACCCCAGGUGGCUGCACAGCUGUCUUCCGGGGCAUCUUGGUUGGUGGGAGGGGAGAGAGAAGAAGGCAUCUAACACACAGCUUCUAUUUGCCAUGUCAGGAGCAGUAACUUCUCCUAAUUAUUUCCUGGCUCCUGGAUUCAUUAGCCACCCCAGUAUUAAUUCAGAUCACUGCAUUUAUCCCCAUCUGUCCUAGAUUCGUCACCAAGACACUGACGAUGCUAAUGUGGUGGUUUCAGCAAUGAAAGAGCACUGCAGAGUUCAAAUUGUUGUUCAGAAGGGGGAAGGGCUCUAGCAAUUUUUGGUUUAGAACAAGCAACGAGAGUCCCCCACCAAACACACACACACCACCCCCAAGCCCCCAAUACCCCAAACCAGGCAGCCCAACGGCCCACGGGCAGAUAACCUUCUGCCCUGGCCUCAGCAUCAGAGAAAUUCCUUUUAAAUGACUCCACAGACUUCCCCACCCACUGAGUUCCCCUCUUUGGCUAACAGAUGGGCUCAGCUAACCAUUCCCAGCUUUCCGAUAAAGCAGUGUCAGGCAGUGAGGCCCCCUCGGAAAGGCAUGCUUGGAUAAUAAAUUCCAAGGCACCCCUGCCAUCUGCAGGCUGCCAAUCAUGGGGGCGCUGGGCACACUAGGGCUCCCAGUCUGCUGCUGGUAGGGAGCUGGGGUGGGACCUCUGCGUGUGGGGAGGCAGCCUGCCCCUGCCGCCCCAUCCUGCUCAGCCUGUGACCUGUCCCUUUUGACACGGUAGGGGCCAGUCCUGCUGCAACCCCUCUGUCUACUCACAACCCUCCCUGUCAUGCGAGAACCAGCACACAGGCAGCACUGUAAUGGAGGCAAUAAUCGUGAACCACAAAGGCCGAUAGUCAGAUCUGCUGCCACAUUUUGGCUCAGUCACAUUCCAGUGCUUGACCUCAGGCCAGUGGCUUCCCCAUAAGAGCCUCAGUUUCCCCAUCUGUAAAAUGACAGUUAAAGACACUCCCUCCCUGGUAGAUUUUGUGUGAAGAUGUAAGCAAAAUGCGUGGCACAAUGCUUGGCCCAUGGAUAUAAGUGGCAGCUGUCAUUAUCACCAUCAUCAUUAUUGUUAAUAUUAUUCGUGUGGUUGUUAUCAUUUAAAAUACCAAUUAGGUGCAUGGUGGUGCACUCCUGUAGUUCCAGCCACUCAGGAGGCUCAGGCGGGAGGAUGGUGUCAGCCCUAGGAGUUCAAGGCUGCGGUGAGCUGUGAUCGAUCGUGCCACUGCACUCCAGUUUGGGUGAAGGAGCAAGACCCAGUAUCUAAAAAAUAGUAAAGUGAAAUAAAAGGGCAGUUAGCCGGAAAAAUUGACUUUAUGAUACUUGCUUCAUAUGAUACUUAUCUUGGAGGUGUGAUAAAAUAUAUGAGCUGUCUUAACCCAGCACAGAAUGAGCCUUCAGGAAAUGUUAAUUGCCCCUGUCAAUCUCAAAUUCUUUCAUCUAUUCAUUCAUUCAUACAAGAGACAUUCACUAAACAUUGUGCCAGCCCUUGGGUUAGACCUGAAGAGAGAAAGAACAACCAAAAAAAAAAAAAAAAAGCAAUUUUUACCUUUAAAUCACUCACAGUCAAGGGAGCAAAUAGAGCA
Molecule: long non-coding RNA, 4074 nt
Filed under: Homo sapiens (human)
Lineage: Eukaryota; Metazoa; Chordata; Mammalia; Primates; Hominidae
Description: HSALNT0276468
Source: RNAcentral